Molecule: ribosomal RNA, 787 nt
Filed under: Leptodactylus leptodactyloides
Lineage: Eukaryota; Metazoa; Chordata; Amphibia; Anura; Leptodactylidae
Description: partial large subunit ribosomal RNA
Rfam family: Bacterial large subunit ribosomal RNA
Source: RNAcentral
AAGAAGGAACUCGGCAAAAAUUUAACCCCGCCUGUUUACCAAAAACAUCGCCUUUUGAAAACUAAUAAAAGGUCUAGCCUGCCCAGUGACUUUGUUCAACGGCCGCGGUAUCCUAACCGUGCGAAGGUAGCGUAAUCACUCGUUCUUUAAAUGAGGACUAGUAUGAAUGGCAUCACGAGGGUUCUACUGUCUCCUCCCUCUAAUCAGUGAAACUAAUCUCCCCGUGAAGAAGCGGGGAUAAGCCUAUAAGACGAGAAGACCCUAUGGAGCUUUAAACACACAACAAUUGCCCCGCUCCCCCAUAAAUCUCCGGAAAGCCAUCUACCCGGGCAUUUUGAUUGCAAGUUUUAGGUUGGGGUGACCGCGGAGUAAANAUUAACCUCCACAGCGAANGGGACUUCUCCCUAAACUCAGGGUUACGACCCUAAGAAUCAAUAAAUUGACACCCAUUGACCCAAUUUCUUUGACCAACGAACCAAGUUACCCUAGGGAUAACAGCGCAAUCCAUUUCAAGAGCUCCUAUCGACAAGUGGGUUUACGACCUCGAUGUUGGAUCAGGGUAUCCCAGUGGUGCAGCCGCUGCUAACGGUUCGUUUGUUCAACGAUUAAAACCCUACGUGAUCUGAGUUCAGACCGGAGCAAUCCAGGUCAGUUUCUAUCUAUAAAGAGUUUCUUCUAGUACGAAAGGACCGAAGAAACAUGGCCAAUGCCCCCGUAAGCCAUAGCAACUUAUUUAUGACUUAACCUCAAUAAAAACAUGCUUCUAAAUGAACUCAAGAAAAGAGUA